Molecule: unclassified non-coding RNA, 186 nt
Filed under: uncultured fungus
Lineage: Eukaryota; Fungi
Description: sequence contains ITS1
Source: RNAcentral
UUAAAACGUUUGAAUACAAACAGGUUUUUCUUCAGACCGAUUGCUUCGAUUGCAGGAGUUUGCGGUUCCCUCCCCCCCGCCCGGAGAGAACCCAGCGGGGGGAAGCAACAUGUAGAGAUACGCAGAGUGGGUUUCAACAAACGUUGUAAUUCGUUAAUGAUCCUUCCGCAGGUUCACCUACGGAAA